This 2458-nucleotide long non-coding RNA is filed under the name Canis lupus familiaris (dog). Its description in RNAcentral is "lncRNA (ENSCAFG00845013247.1)". Lineage: Eukaryota; Metazoa; Chordata; Mammalia; Carnivora; Canidae. The record is from RNAcentral.
UACAUGUUUUAUGCAAACAUAAUUUUUUAUUUCUCUGGGAUAAAUGUCCAAGUGUGAGCAUAUUGCCUAUUUUAAAGCAUUAAUAAUGGAAAAUAGUGCUGUUCAGAAACGAACAAGGUGCCCCCAUGGAUCCUGCCUGGAGUAGGUGCUCUGUGCAGCGGGGUGCUGCAAUACCGCCUCCCUUCCCCUGGCAUCCAGCCUGCCUCCCGUGGAGCCUCUUCCACAAACAUUAUCAUGAUCACUCUGACCUUGAUUUAUGUUUUAGGAUUUGCAAUGUUCCUUCUCAUGCAAUUGCCUGUGUCUGGCAGGGGUGGGGCCCAGGCUUGCCUGCAGUCUCUGUGGCCUCCCACAUUCUUACUUCACUGGCCCAUUGCUUGUCCCUAGGCUGCUUCCUUCUCUUAGCUCAUCAAGCAACACACCUUCACAAAUACCUCGCUGUCAGGCCAGAAGGCAGAAGCCAGGCGGGGGCCACCCACCAGCAAGAAUGCAUCUGGACCCAACACAAAGGACUUUGGUCAGCGGAAGGUCUGCUCUUGCCUUGUAGCAGAACUCUACCACCAGCCAGAUCCCCCAGCUUUGGUGGAUCUCUCCUCCCCACGGGCCUCUAGGUGUCCUACUGCUCGUGUCCUGUGUAGCUCCCUCCCACAUGGACUGUGUAACCAGAGGGAGGUCACAGGAAUGAUGAAGCACGGCUCCCGAGACUCUGCUAUAUGUCUCCUGGGUCGCUCACCCAGGAGGGCUGAGAGGAGGCCGACCACCCUGCAGCAAGGAUGCUCAUGCAGUCCCAUGGAGUGGUCCAUGUGGGGAGACAGCCAAAACCACCCAGCUGAGCUGUCUCUGUGUCCCUGAGCCUCCAAAAUUGUCUGAGAUCAUGUUUAUUAUUGGUUUACGCCAAGCAGUUUGGGGGUAACUUGUAACACCCUUCCCUUCUGGGAGGAUUUCAUGACCCACAGGUGGGCUGCCAUCCAUCGUGUGGAAAGCACUGUUGGAAAGCUUUCCAUCUGCCCACCCCGGUGUCAGGACACGGCCUUCCUGGUUAUUUCAGCGUCCCCUGAGCAACCACCUGACCAAGCUCCACAGAAAGGUGGUUAAGGGCAGAUAUUGAAUCCCGGCUCUGCAGUUGAUUAGCUUAGAACCUCGGGCAAGUCCCACUAUUGAUCUUUGCCUCAGUUUCUCCACCUCUAAAGCAGGGGUGGUAACAAUAGUGCUUGCCACUGGGAUUAUUGUGAGGAUCUGCUGGCACACGUCACGUCCUUGCGACAGUGCCCCACGCAUUUUGGGAGUGUAGAGCUGGGGACUGAUGCGUGGCAGACUGUGUUCCGAGGCUGGGGAUGCACCAAAGAGCAGAGUCAUUAGAGGGUGGGCCUGCCUGAGGUUGUGUCUACGUCUUUCCUGCUUGCAUUUCAUUGAAAACUUUAUUAACCAUACGUGUCGGUUCCGGGCUGAAUGGGAAGGCUGUGGAGGAGGAAGAUGCUGAGCUCACCUCCUCCCACGGACACACUAGGGCUGCAUAUAGCUACGUAUAGAGUACUCCUUUCCAGGAAGAACCUGGCAGCCAGCAAAACAGGUCAGCUGCAGUUGAAGAAAUGCAGAGGAAACCACAUCCAUAAGGGUAGCGAGGGCAGAGACGCAGGCCCUCGGGAACCAAACCCCCAGCAUGGGGACCUGCAUGUACGGGUGAUGCCUCAGCAUUGAGGUCCUCCCUAGAAGGGUUCAAGCCCCAACCUGAGGUACCCCUCUAGGUAUCUGUACUGGAAAGAUGAGCCCCCAUAAUGUCUCACUUUGAAAAUCAGCAGGACUUAACUCUGGGAGAGCCAGAGGUCUGCAGGAAUCGAAGACCCCAGGCCUAUAAGGCCAGCGUGCUAUGUCACUGGGUUCAAGACCCAGCACCGGAAUGCCUGGGUGGCUCAGUGGUUGAGCAUCUGCCUUUGGUCCAGGGCAUGAUCCUGGAGUUUCAGGAUCAAGUCCCGGGUCGGGUUCCCUGCAUGGAGCCUGCUUCUCCCUCUGCCUGUGUCUCUGCCUCUCUCUGUGUGUGUGUCUUUCAUGAAUAAAUAAAAUCUUAAAAAAAAAAAAAAAAAAAAAAAAAAAAAGACCCAGCACGGAGGCAGCAGUCUGAAAAGCACCUAGGGCUGUUCACGAAGGGCAUCGAUAUAUUGAGUGAUUUUAGGACGUGUGCUGGAGGAGCAGGGAUCUACAGGAACUUUCUCCAGGAACGAAGCAGGGGCAGUCACCAUAUCCCUUGCUGGCCCUGCCCGCCCUGCCUUACCGUCCCUCUGCAGACCUGUCCCAUCCAACUUGCUCACCCCUGCCACCCUCCCUGCAAAAAGCAGCUCUGCCCUGGAGGAUGGGCAUCCCCACCCACCUAGUAGGCCUGCUAGGUGGCAGCCAGCCCCACCCAUCAGCACACCUGCAGCACCUGAGGACUCAGUCACAAAAGGAGGACUUGAGAGCCCACACA